Molecule: unclassified non-coding RNA, 349 nt
Filed under: soil metagenome
Description: partial contains 5.8S ribosomal RNA, internal transcribed spacer 2, and large subunit ribosomal RNA
Rfam family: 5.8S ribosomal RNA (bases 1-120)
Source: RNAcentral
GAUGAAGAACGCAGCGAAAUGCGAUAAGUAAUGUGAAUUGCAGAAUUCAGUGAAUCAUCGAAUCUUUGAACGCACAUUGCGCCCGCCAGUAUUCUGGCGGGCAUGCCUGUCCGAGCGUCAUUUCAACCCUCGAACCCCUCCGGGGGGUCGGCGUUGGGGAUCGGCCCCUCACCGGGCCGCCCCCGAGAUCCAGUGGCGGUCUCGCCGCAGCCUCUCCUGCGCAGUAGUUUGCACACUCGCACCGGGAGCGCGGCGCGGCCACAGCCGUAAAACACCCCAAACUCUGAAAUGUUGACCUCGGAUCAGGUAGGAAUACCCGCUGAACUUAAGCAUAUCAAUAAGCGGAGGA